Molecule: long non-coding RNA, 1010 nt
Filed under: Homo sapiens (human)
Lineage: Eukaryota; Metazoa; Chordata; Mammalia; Primates; Hominidae
Description: HSALNT0117269
Source: RNAcentral
CUGGGGGCGGGGCGGCCUGGGAUGAGGACCUGGAGAGGUGAGUCCUUGGAGAGAAGAUCCAGGUGUGUCACUGGAGCCGUCCCAGGAGGGACUGUGGCGCCCGAGAUGCGGCUGGCAUCCGUCUGUUGGGGUCUGAGCUGUGGCGGCCACAGGGCCUGGAGAGGCUGCUGAGGCUGUUUUAAACUGUAACUGGAAGAUCAAAAAGAGUUUAGGGGAAAAUCCACGGCACCUGGACCAGCCCUCCUGGCACUGCCCUCGCAGUGCGGUUUCACAGGGGCUACUGGGAGGUGCGUCUCCCUGCCUGGACCGAGACCGGGACCAAACAGAGAAGCCUGCAGGGCCAGGAGUUCUAUGGAGAUGGCUCCUCCCAGACGGCAGUGGGGACCCUCAGGGUUGGCCACAGGCUUUGGUGAUGUCUGCAGAUAAGAUGAGAUUCUCCAUGUGGUGUUCAGGCCGUUUUCGUGAGGAAUAAGUGAAAAGCGCCUCACACAUGCUGGGGAAAGGCAAUGUCCUAUCCUAAGGCCAUGCUGAUGAUGGGGUGAGGCUGCCUUCCUGAGCCCCACCCUCCACAUCUGACCACACCUAACUCCAAACCUCUACCCACACUGCUGCCUGGCUCUGCGGGGCCGUCACCGGGCGUCGGACGGACAAUCCCAGCCUCACCCCUGCACAACCUGCUCUCCCCACUGCCUGGCUCUGUGGGGACACUGUGAACGCCAUCAACACACAGCCCGGGGUCGCUGUCUGGGACGUGCCCAUUAAGUCACGAUAAACGGUUUUUACUAAAAGCUUAGGCACCAAUAGAGGCCUGCUGAGGGCGGUGGAGAGGACACCAGAGUGGGUAUGUGGAGGUGAUGAUUUCACGAAUUAACCGACUAAUCUAACAUCCAGGGAACAGGAUUUCCACAUAAACUAGCUCUUCUCUAAGACACUGAAGUCUGGGAGAAGCCACAGUGACUCUUUGGGAGCACCAUGAAGAGCCAGGACAGGGAGAGAUGGAGAGAGGGAGG